AUUUUUAACAAUGUAUUAUUAAACUAAACUUUUAAAUUAAAGUUAACGAAGAUUAAUAAGUUAUUUAGCAGUAUUUUUAUUGUUACGAAAGUAGUUAACUAUUGUUUUUAUUACUAUUGUAUUAAUUAUUUUUAUUAACAUUUUACCUUUUACAGGUGAAGGUCAUAAGAAUGACCCAGUCUGAGAUGGGAGAAAUACCCGUCUUAGACUUGGACCUGAAGUGUGGAAGCUCUAUACUAAGCAUCACUCUGUGGCGCGAUGAAGCCCUGAUACCAGUGUCUCUGGAUGAUGAAAUAAUUCUCACUCAUUUAAGACCAAGCACUUCAAAUGGAGUCAAAAAACUUAAUAGCUCCUCGUACACCUCAGUCAAGGUUGUUGAUCAAAAGCCUAUGGAGGAGGAUAUUGAAGUGGUUAGCGUAUCUGAAACUGAAGAUGGUCUGUCUUCUGACAAAAGACUUCAAAGAGUUCAUAACAACUCCUGAUGUUUACAGCAUGUCGGUUGAUGAGAUGCUGGAAAUGCUGCCAGUUAAAUUACAUGUCGUACACCUAAAGAGGAGAAUCUCAAAAAUUGAACACCCACUGGAAAUGGAAGAGUAGUCUUAUUUACUGAAAGGGAUAGAUAGUUCACCCAAAAAUGAAAAUUGUGUCAUUAUUACUCACCCUUAUGUCAUUUCAAAUCUGCAAGACUUUUGUUCAUUUUCAUAUCAUAUCAACUAAGAUAUUUUUUAUGAAAUCUGAGCGCGCUCUGACCCUUCAUAGACAAGCAAAGGUUUUACCACAUUCAAGCCCCAAAAAGAUAACAAGAACAUUGGGAAAAUAGUCUUGUGACACAAGUGUUUUAGCUGUAAUUUUAUGAAGCCACAAGAAUACUUUUUGUGCACAAAAUAAUGACUAUUCUUCUUCCCAGAGUUACUGUGACGAGUGGGGCGGGGUCGAUGGACGUGGGAACGAGCGAGGCCGGUGGAGUGAUUGGGAAAUGAGCGACACCUGCGACCCACCACCGGUCUCGAGUCCCACAGAGGAGAUGGAAGGAUAUAAAACUGGAGCGAUGACAGUGAAGGACGAGAGAGGACCAGGCCUGGGUUUUAUUUUAUGUUUUGGUUUUUAUUUGUGCGCAUCAGUGUUCCGUGAGGGGCUGAUGCGCUAUUGUGUGUAUAUUUUUGUAAUUAAAGUUUCAGUUGAUUGUCCGCCGGUUCCCGCCUCCUUCUUCCCGAUGAAUAUGAAGGUUUUAUUAUUACAGUUACUGUCUACCAGCAUUAUUUAGAGUACCAAGAGCACAAAAAGUAUUCUUAUACCUUCUUAUUACGCUUGAACCGCUGAUGUCACAGGGACUAUUUUGUCAAAUGUUCUUGGUACAUUUCUGGUCCUUAAUUAUAGUAGAAUUUUUGCUGUCUAUGGAGGGUCAGAAAGCUCUUCAUCAAAAAUAUCUAUUUGUGUUACGGAAAUGAAUGAAAGUGUUACCAAUUUGGAACAACAUGAGCAUGAGUAAUAAUAACACAAUUUUCAUUUUUAGGUGAACUAUCCCAAAACGUUUACCAGAGAAAAACAUUUUGAAUG
Molecule: long non-coding RNA, 1557 nt
Organism: Carassius auratus (goldfish)
Lineage: Eukaryota; Metazoa; Chordata; Actinopteri; Cypriniformes; Cyprinidae
Source: Ensembl